Molecule: ribosomal RNA, 301 nt
Filed under: uncultured bacterium
Lineage: Bacteria
Description: partial 16S ribosomal RNA
Rfam family: Bacterial small subunit ribosomal RNA
Source: RNAcentral
CAGUAGCCGCGGUAUCACGGAGGGGGCUAGCGUUGUUCGGAAUUACUGGGCGUAAAGCGCACGUAGGCGGCUUGGUAAGUUAGAGGUGAAAGCCCGGAGCUCAACUCCGGAAUUGCCUUUAAGACUGCCGAGCUAGCAGGUGAGAGAGGUAAGUGGAAUUCCGAGUGUAGAGGUGAAAUUCGUAGAUAUUCGGAAGAACACCAGUGGCGAAGGCGGCUUACUGGCUCAUACUGGACGCUGAGGUGCGAAAGCGUGGGGAGCAAACAGGAUUAGAUACCCGAGUAGUCCCUGUCUCUUAUAC